Acinonyx jubatus (cheetah) is the source of this 8867-nucleotide RNA transcript. It is a transcript of the gene named tripartite motif containing 67, with no coding region annotated. The transcript has 11 exons. NCBI's taxonomy places the organism in Eukaryota, Metazoa, Chordata, Mammalia, Carnivora, Felidae. The record is from RefSeq and is a predicted model, not a curated record.
GCGGCGGCGGCGGCGGCGGCGGCAGGAAGGCGGGGAGGGGAUUCCCGAGCCAGCCGGGCGCUCGCCCUCCGCCCGCCGGCUGCAGCGUUGCGCGGCCAAGGUCAGAGGCUCCGCCGCCGCCGCCGCCGCCGCCGCAGCAGCAAACCAGAUCAGCGGGUCAAUCCUUGCCGCGGAGGGGAAAAGCCCCAGGGCGCAUUUGGUUCGCACCAGCAGCCACCAGGGAGGGAGGCGAGAGAAGGUCUCCGAGCCUGCUGGGCCCCACCGAGACAGUCGCGGGCGCAGCGACCCGGCACGGCAGGUGGCCGCCUCUCAGUCUGCGCUCCAGGAGCUGGGGCGGCACUUUGAGCUCUGGGCGCUGUCCGUCGCCUCGUGGUGCUGAACCCAGCCCCACGGCCAAGGGGCCCGCUCACCCGCCUUCUCGCCUACUGAUCGCUCCGAUUGGGGCAGGACAGGGGCAAAAGGGAGCCCCUGGGCAGCUGCCCACUGGAGCCGAGGGGUUGAAACAGGACAGCUAGGAAACGGCAGCCUGGCCGCUGCUCCUGAUGUGCAUAGGAGACGCGCGCUGCAGCCGGCGGCGGCGCUAGUGCUGAUUCAUCACCUAGAGCUCCUCACAGGCCAUCGCGAGGGCAGCGGACUGACUCUGGACUCUGGCCGCAGGUUGAAGCCGCUGGCGCAGGAGCCCCGCGGGCAGGAGGUGAGGACCCCUUCCCUUCUCUUGCCCCCAGUCGUCCUAGGGCGGUGGCGCCAGGACACAGAGAGGGGCGUGCCCCCAGGCUGUGAAGUGGUCAUGCCUGUGUAAUGCCCUCGCCUGCAGUCUCUCCAGUGUUGACCACGCUUGGUCCCCUCCUCCGCCUGUCUCUGGAGCUUGGGCCGUUCCAUCUCCCACCCUGAGCACCUCGGUCUGUUCGCGCCGCCGCGAUGGAGGAGGAGCUGAAGUGCCCCGUGUGCGGCUCCCUGUUUCGGGAGCCCAUCAUCUUGCCCUGUUCCCACAACGUCUGCCUUCCUUGCGCUCGUACCAUCGCCGUGCAGACCCCGGACGGUGAGCCGCACCUGCCCCAGCCGCUCCUGCACUCCCGGGGCUCGGGGCUACCCGCCGGCGCCGCCGCGGCACCCCCUCUGGACCACGACGCGGCGGCUGGCCCGGCCUGCAGCGGCGGAGGCGGGAGCGCAGCUGGCGGCCUGGGCGGCGGUGCGGGCGGUGGCGGGGACCACGCGGACAAGCUGAGCUUGUACAGCGAGACAGACAGCGGUUAUGGUUCCUACACGCCGAGCCUCAAGUCCCCCAACGGGGUUCGCGUGCUGCCCAUGGUGCCCGCGCCGCCAGGCUCCUCGGCCGCCGCGGCCCGGGGUGCCGCCUGCUCUUCGCUGUCCUCGUCCUCUUCAAGCUCCAUCACGUGCCCGCAGUGCCACCGCAGCGCUUCCCUGGACCACCGAGGCCUGCGCGGCUUCCAGCGCAACCGGCUGCUCGAAGCCAUCGUGCAGCGGUACCAGCAGGGCCGCGGGGCCGCGCAGGGGGCGUCCGCAGCCUCUGCAGUGGCCAUCUGCCAGUUGUGCGACCGCACCCCGCCGGAGCCGGCUGCCACGCUAUGCGAGCAGUGCGACGUCCUCUACUGCGCUGCUUGCCAGCUCAAAUGCCAUCCAUCCCGGGGACCUUUCGCUAAGCAUCGCCUGGUGCAGCCGCCGCCGCCAUCCGCGCCGGCGGAGGCAAACUCAGCAUCCCCGGGUGCGGCCCAGGGCGCCCCCAGUGGAGGUGGCGGCUGCAAGAGUCCGGGGGGCGCGGGGGCUGGAGCGGCGGGGGGCAGCGCCGCCCGCAAGUUCCCUACGUGCCCCGAACACGAAAUGGAGAACUACAGCAUGUACUGCGUGAGCUGCAGAACCCCGGUGUGCUAUCUGUGCCUGGAGGAGGGCCGUCAUGGCAAGCACGAGGUGAAGCCGCUGGGAGCCAUGUGGAAACAGCACAAGGCCCAACUGUCACAGGCCUUAAAUGGAGUUUCCGAUAAGGCAAAAGAAGCAAAGGAGUUUCUGGUUCAGCUGAAGAACAUCCUGCAGCAGGUCCAGGAAAACGGACUGGACUACGAAGCCUGCCUGGUUGCUCAGUGUGAUGCGCUGGUCGAUGCUUUAACUCGGCAGAAAGCCAAGCUGCUCACCAAGGUCACCAAAGAGAGAGAGCACAAGCUGAAGAUGGUUUGGGACCAGAUCAAUCACUGCACACUGAAGCUGCGUCAGUCAACCGGGCUGAUGGAGUACUGCCUAGAGGUGAUCAAGGAGAACGACCCCUCUGGCUUCCUACAGAUCUCGGAUGCUCUGAUCAAGCGCGUCCAGGUGUCUCAGGAGCAGUGGGUCAAAGGCGCCCUGGAGCCAAAAGUGUCUGCGGAGUUUGACCUGACCUUGGACAGCGAGCCGCUGCUGCAAGCCAUCCACCAGCUGGACUUCAUCCAGAUGAAAUGUAGGGUGCCGCCCGGCCCCCUGCUGCAGCUGGAGAAGUGUUGCACCCACAACAAUAGUGUCACACUGGCCUGGAGGAUGCCGCCCUUCACCCACAGCCCUGUGGACGGCUACAUCCUGGAGCUGGAUGACGGCGACGGGGGCCAGUUCCGGGAAGUGUAUGUGGGCAAGGAGACCCUGUGCACCAUCGAUGGUCUUCACUUCAACAGUACCUACAAUGCCAGGGUCAAGGCUUUCAACUCCUCCGGCGUCGGGCCUUAUAGUAAAACUGUAGUCCUGCAGACAUCUGACGUGGCCUGGUUCACCUUUGACCCCAACUCUGGGCACCGGGACAUCAUCUUAUCCAAUGACAACCAGACGGCCACCUGCAGCAGCUAUGACGACCGGGUGGUGCUGGGCACAGCCGCGUUCUCCAAGGGCGUGCACUACUGGGAGCUGCACGUGGACCGGUACGACAACCACCCAGACCCCGCCUUCGGGGUGGCCAGGGCCAGCGUGGUCAAGGACAUGAUGCUGGGCAAGGACGACAAGGCCUGGGCCAUGUACGUGGACAACAACCGCAGCUGGUUCAUGCACUGCAACUCCCACACCAACAGGACGGAAGGCGGUGUGUGCAAGGGGGCCACUGUCGGCGUGCUCCUGGACCUAAAUAAGCACACGCUGACCUUCUUCAUCAACGGGCAGCAGCAGGGCCCCACAGCCUUCAGCCAUGUGGAUGGGGUGUUCAUGCCAGCCCUCAGCCUCAACCGCAACGUGCAGGUCACCCUGCACACAGGAUUGGAAGUACCAACAAACCUGGGGCGGCCAAAGUUAUUGGGCAACUAGCCUCCCGGCCCCAGCUGUUCACCGGCGUCUGGGAAAAGCCUCACCAUCCCUCGCUGAGGUCGAAGGACCCGCGAGGGCAGGACGAUCGCCUUGAGGGGUGCAGCCCAGCAGCCGCUCAGUAUCUUAGAGACGUGUUUUGUUUGGAGGGUGAGAACAGGUCUGCAGGCCACGCUUGUUGAGGCAGCUGGUUAAUAAGUGGCCACUGGUCGGUGGUGAAGCUGCGUGUGUGUUUCUCUCAUUCCUCCUGGACAUUACGAAUGCUCACAGAGAAGGAACUUUCUCGAGGGAGGGAGAAGACAUCCGGGGUUUAUGAUUAUGUUUCCUGCCAUCUGUUUUCAAAGCUUGUCUUUUUUGCUGGUGGGGGGGCAAGAGGAGGGCCGACUUUGAGACUGGCAUCCUGAGAGCAGAGGCAGGAAGGCACUUCCGGAAUCCCACUCCCCAAGUGUUGAUUGACCCUUUGCUGGGACACCUCUCUGUCCCGAGGCUGCAGGUUCUCAUCUCCUCCAGGAAAGGUUCUCCUUUUUGCUUUUUUGGUCCUGGAGUCUCCACAACAUUAUGCCCUUGCAGACCUAAUCCAAGGUCGAUAGAAAGGGGCAUUAAUCUUGACCUUCACCAUUCCCACUGACCUUCACCAUUCCCACUGAACUAUUGAGAACCUUUAAAAUGGUUUCUUUUGGUCCUUCAUUAAUCAUCUCUCUCUCUCUCUCUCUCUCUCUCUCUCUCUCUCUCACACACACACACACACACACACACACACACGUCUGCUAAAAUGCAUUCAGUCAGUUCUUAGUCCUUAAACACAAAAGAAAACAAUGGAAUUGGAGUGACCACAUGAAGCGUGUCUGCUGGCUGGCAGCUGUUUUCUGGAACUGCAAGCUUGUCUGAGUUGCUCUCUUCCAGGCUUUGGUCCUCCCAGGGGGACCCUGGGGAAGCCUCUUAGAAUCUGCCUACCUUUUCUUUCAGACCCACCCUACUGUCAUCAUGAAAGUAGGAGAUGGCCCCCCAUGGCAGUGGUGCCUCUGCCUUGGGAUGGGCAGGUCCUCUAAUGAAGGCAGGAAAUAGCAAUAUCAGCAUGUCCCUUACACCCCAGACUCCCGGGGUGAGCCUGGCUGUGCCAGAGGCCCAGGCUGAGCCCCCUAGCAGGGCGCCCUCAUGGGCCCAGGAGGUCCCCAUAGAGUCAUUUGCAUCUCUCAGAAACAGAGCUCGCUUUCGGGGGUCUGAGCCCGGAGCCCGCCGCGGUCCUGUCCCCAGAGCACCUUCCUGUCCCCUCCUGCUCUUCCUCUUUGUCACCUGCCACCUCCAUUUCCAUCUGGUGGCGAAACUUUCUCCUUUUUAAAAAGAAUAUAUUUUAUCAAGCAUUUUAUUUUUGAGGUUGAGGAGUACCUUGUCCAUUUGCUGGAUUGGAUUUUUAUAAAACUUAGCCCAUAAACCGGCAGCAACUGUGUUUACUCGGUUCUACCUGCUUGUGUAGACACUGCCCUUGUUUUCUGAGCGGCCAAGGCCAAUGCUGUGUAGAUCCUGCCCCCCUAGCAGCAGAUCCUACAAUCCUACCUCAGAGCCCGCGCACCCUCGGACCUCGAGGCUGCCUUGUCCCCGCCGGGUGGGCAGACGUGGCCGGCUAGGCCACCUGCCCAGCGUCUUCAGGAGCUGCUUGGUGCUGUUUCGGCCUCCGAGCUCGGGUCCUGGCAACCACCUGCGUGUGGAGCUGAGGUCUUGCCUCUUGGUUCUCCGCCAGUGGCGUGGUUUCUCAGGCACCCGGAGGUCUUCCUCGUCCUGUCCCGGACCCCCGCCAGAGCCCCGAGGGGGAUGCAGCGUCCUGCCUGUCCUCCUGCCUGCACCUGCCUCUCCGUUUCACUCCUUAGCCAUAGCUCCGGGUGGACUCAGCUUGGAAGCUGGUGAAGCUUCCUGAAGAUUGGAGGACACAGAGGAGCCAUGGCCUUGCUGGGGCUGAUGAAGCAUGGCCAGCAGGUCCAGAUGCAUCGGCUUUGGGAAAAGACUGGCCAGCGUGCUGGGAGUGACACCAGGAGGGUCAGCAGCUCCAGGAGGCCCCGUGAGUGUCCCCAGCAGGCACCUUUCCAGCUUUGCUCCUCCUCCAGGAACCCAGCAGCACCGUGUCAGGCUGUCCUGAAGCCACCUCUCCUGUCCUCAGCACAAAACACCUUUCAGGGACAAGAACGAACCUAGGAGAGAAGGCAGGUCUGUGCCACACUUGUUUUCGAGGGAUCGGCCAAACAAAGAAGGAAUCAUCAGCGGCUGUGGCCUGACUUACGUCACCCUCCCAGGAAGCCCCUGGGAUUCGGAGCAGAGGCUACAGGUCGUGAAUUUCUCAUUGGCCAUCGAAUUCCCUGUCCCCUUACAAUGUGGUGGCAUUUUUGUACUUAGAAUUGUAUCAAAAUGAUGCUUUUGUUGGGCUGGCUGAGGAAUCACUUGGUGUUUGUCUAUCAAGCAGUUUCAGUGAGAAGAGAAUUCAAAGUAACUUAAAUGUCAGGUCCCAAUGCAUUGUAAAUAAUGCCUCCUUGACGUAGUUCCGCGGUUCGUGCUCUGCUCGUGAGCAAGUUUGCUCAAAGCAUAUGCCUUUCCUUUUAGAAUGAAUCCCUUUUAAGCAUCCGCUAGCGACUCACCGCAAAGCACCCUAGCUCCUAAUUCAAAGCAAAAGCUAAAACAUUGCACACAGCCCUCUCUGCCCUGUCGGGGAAAAUAAUGAUUCUAAUCAAAGUGGACAUCAGUAAUCCUGACCCACAAAGUAAUUGGCAUAAAAACUAUGUAUACAUUUUUAUAUAUAGCUCUGGGCUGAAAUCUUCAGCCCUCCGUGAACUCUGUGGUUGUGACAGCGCCCUCGGGCGCCUCGUGGCCCACCGAGAGUGAGGAGGGUCAUGCUUUCCAGAGUGAGCCUGGGCAGAACCGGAGUUCACCAGGGACGCUGGGAACAGGUUCAUGCUUCCUGCUCUUAGUGCCCGGGAAAGCCCAGCCUCGCGGUGCCCGUGCCCUCUGCCUACAGAUUCUCAGGAAAGGAUCACAACGCAGGUUCUACGUGUCCUUCUUCCGGGGACAUUUGCAUUUUAGCCUUAAUUCUGGUUGCAAGUGAAAGGCUCGGUCCCCUGUGAAGGCAUGUUUCAGCACAGACGAGCAGACAGUUGUCCUGUGGCCACCCACACGCGGUGAGAUGGGGAGGAUAGGGAGGGUAGGUAACACUCCGAGGGGGGGGGGGGGGGACUCAGCACGGGAGUGCCGGAAAACACUCUCACAAGGCCCAUGGCUGAUGCCAGGGUUCCUCAACCUCAGCACCCCCCGGGGUGGGGAGGGGGUGGGGUUCUCUUAUUGUUGUGGGCUGGCCAUGGCCUCCCCACACUAGAUGCCGGUAGCACCCCCCCCCAAGUGAGGGGUGACGACCCAAAGCGUCUACAGACAUUGCCAGAUGUCCCCUAGGGGACACCCUGGGUUGAGAACCACUAGCGGUUUGUCAUGUGUCCAUGCGUCAGUAUGCAGGGUGAUGCUGGGGUAUCCAUUUCAGCGUUACCUGGAAAGCCUGUAUCACAAUGUAUGGACCUUCCUGCCCAAGACCAGGAUUGUCCUUCCAUAGGCCUGCAGUGCUCUGCCAGCCGGGGCAGGUAGGGGGAAAUGGAGGUGAGCCACCAACAGAGGCCAAGCUGUCAGGUCUCACUUUGUAUUUACUGAAGAUGCCCCCACCCGCCCCCCCCCCAGAAGACACCCCCCAUUCCUAGAAGGCAAAACUUGUUACCAAAUGUUUCCUUGGCCGCUUUUGCCUGGAGGCAACAGGAACUUUAUGGAUUUGUGGCCUAUUAUCUGGUUUUAAAAAUCUAAUCAGAUCUCAUUAGAAGAUAUUUAGGGUCUCUGCUGAUUCUGGGAAAUCUCUACUUUUGUUUUGCAAGUAAGCCAGUAAGCUGUUUUCAAGGAUCACUUUCCUUGGCAGGUUCCUCCUUAAAGAGAAAGGGGUCCUGGUGGCUUUCGCUUUAAAUGGACUGUAUGAUAGGUAAGAGUAGGUGUGGGGUAGGAUGUGUGGCUCAGGCACCGCAUUCAGCCCUCAGACACUCGUGUCUUUGAACCUGGCUUUGAUAAUGGUUCACACGUCUUAUAUCUUUCUGUGCCUCGGUAUCCCCACCGAGGGAAUGCUUUUGAAAGAAAAGAAUAUAGUCUCUCAUCUAUUGAGUCUAGGCUAAUGGUCCCCUUCAAAGAAUCAAGCCUGUGUGGUGACCUUCCAGAAUGUUCUCCGACCACAAGACGGUAUCUUCCAUCCCAGCCUCUUGUGACCAGGAGCAUGUGUGUAUUAACACUGCUGCCUGGCCUUGAGGAGGGAAAAUUGACAUUUGAAAUAGGCUUCACAUGACCAUGCAAAGCAACACCCCAGACGUUCCCAUUCCCAACAAGGCCUGUUUUAACGGUACUUUGGUGCAACGUGCUGUAAGCGGGCCACAUGUCAACAUUGUCAUUGUUAGUCCCAAAGGCAUCUGUGUGCAGAAGCCCCCAUAAAACGUAGAAAGAGGCUGACCUGCCUGUCUCCUCGGUCACCUUAAGUUCUAACAUCUGAGGCGUCCCCCAACCCAUCCUGUGUCUCCAUUGUUUCCGAAGAUCUCGGCAGGGGAGCGGCUUUGAGAACCAAUGUCUAAGAGUAAGGCGGGAGGCACCUGACCCCUCGGCUGGGAGUCUGCACGGCCCUGGGACUCCACUCGCACUACCUGUUGGAGAGGGGGGUGGGGGGUGGUUCCCGGCUUUCCUUGUGAAUGAUGUUGGCUUCAGGCAGGAGUUGGGAGUCGAGACCCCACAGGGGAGUCUUGUCUGGAGGGCGCGGGCUGCCCAACCUAGUCCUGGGGAAGACCCCCCCGCAAGGUGGGCACCACUCACCAGGCCAGGCCCUCAGGCAGCCUCUGAGGAGACUCCAAACACAGACUUCAGAUCUGGAAAAGCGGCCUCCAGUGGCUGUGGAAGCAGGAACACGGCGAGGGCCUGCAGACCUUUCCAGCUCGUCCCGCGCCCGGUGGCUGGGCGUCCCCAGCCUGACUUCCUCGGCACCAAGAGGAAGCGCGGAGUGAGCCAAGCAGAAGACGUUAAAUGCAUGAUGUAGACGUGCUGCUUUCCCACUAACUUUGUCGUAUUCAGCAUGAGUGAUUUGUUUAACGUUGGCAAAGGAAUUUAAAAAGUAACAAGCUCUGUGUCCUUGUUUUGGCUGUCCACAGUUCUUGCAUUUCCCUGCCUUCCUUUACCCCCGCCCCCCCCCCCACCAUCGCAUCCACUUUCUGUCACAGUUGUCCGUAUACAGUGGCAGCUCUCGGUCCCGUUGGUGUUCGUGUUCCACUGGAAACACGGGGGGGGGGGGGAAAGGGGGGGAAAGCAACUUUUUUCUAAUUUUUGUAUCGGUAUCCACGAGCGUUUGUAUUUUUUGAAUUGCAAACACUGUGUUUUCUGGUCUUUGGGGGGUUGGUUAACUUUGUGUAUUGCCUUCUGGAAAACCUGAGUUUUAUCACAGUCUUGAGCAGAUUUGAAAUAAAUUCUUUGGACACUGCCAACAACCGAAAGGCAGGGCCCGGUCUGGAUUACUGCCCAGAAGCACAGCGCGCCUCUUGCCAUGCGGGCCCUGGGUG